RNAcentral lists this small RNA (160 nucleotides) under Theobroma cacao (cacao). RNAcentral describes it as "sRNA Tc07v2_g013650". The record is from RNAcentral. Lineage: Eukaryota; Viridiplantae; Streptophyta; Magnoliopsida; Malvales; Malvaceae.
AAAAAGUGUGGAAAAUCAAGAAAAACAAGUGAAAAAGGUGGUGAGUCCUCCGAUAAAGGCAAGGAAAUUGCAUCCGAGGACCAUAGUCAGAGUACUUCAAAAAUUCGCACUCUAGACAUUCUUACUGCAGUGGGCGGGUUUCCAUGGACCAGACUAUUAG